GGUCUUUUCAAAUGAGUCAGUUCUUCAUAUCAGGUGUAUAUCUAUGGCUGAUUCAUGCUGAGGAGUGUCCUUCAGCGCCGCCGCCUCCGCCACCGCCAUCGGACUUAGUGCGCGGAGAGGGGCUAACCCAGCACCAACGUCUCCAGGCCGCCCUCUAGGUAGCGAUGUGCCCGACUGUAGGACCGCCUCUAGUCCCUGGGGACAAAGCGUCUUCUCCCGCCUCCUCUGUCACCUCAACCCCGAUCCUUCGGACCUCGAAAACCGCUCAAAGAGCCGCUAUGAAGACACAGGAAGUCCCACCUUCACCCAGUGAGCCCGCCCACCCGCCGGAAAUGUCGAAAUUCUGGAUGUUCAUUGGGUGGGCCCCGCUGCUGCUCAACGCUUGGCUUUGUGGAUAAUGGAGUUCGGGCAGGCGCAAGCCUGCCGCCUGAGAGAUUCUGCUUGAAUCUCCCAGGGUCGGGCGAUCCUCUAGGCUGCUCAAAACUGACCUCCCUGUUCUUCCAGGUAGGCUAGAAGCUUCGUUUCCUCUUCAAGGGGCUAAGGACAAUUUCUGGGGAAUUCGAAGAGCAUUUAGAAAGCCUUCAAAGCUAUUGAUCUCCGAAGUGUUUGGAUAAUAAUUUAUGUUACAUGCAGCUGUCUGUAGUGAACAUGCCCUGAUAGAUGACAGCGAUGAUAUACUGUCA
Long non-coding RNA from Bubalus bubalis (water buffalo), 683 nucleotides. RefSeq lists it as uncharacterized. The record is from RefSeq and is a predicted model, not a curated record. Lineage: Eukaryota; Metazoa; Chordata; Mammalia; Artiodactyla; Bovidae. The transcript has 2 exons.